AGCUAAAAAUAAAUUAUAUCUCAAAGGCUGGAAGGCAAUUCUUCUUCAGUUUCUUUUCGGGGCCAGCACUGGAUGAGAGCCUACUAUAUUGCAGAACCAUCCUUAUCUUAUCUUGUAAAGAUAUUCUGAUCUUUCAAUGUUUCAUUCACGUGACACCAUCUUCUACCAUCCAAUUUCUGGCUUGGUUGACUGACGUGAAU
RNAcentral lists this long non-coding RNA (200 nucleotides) under Brassica napus (rape). RNAcentral describes it as "long non-coding RNA (BNAP_LNC010171)". The record is from RNAcentral. Lineage: Eukaryota; Viridiplantae; Streptophyta; Magnoliopsida; Brassicales; Brassicaceae.